This 813-nucleotide ribosomal RNA is filed under the name uncultured bacterium. RNAcentral's name for it is "bacterial SSU rRNA". It matches the Rfam family "Bacterial small subunit ribosomal RNA", at positions 8 to 796 of the family's 1533-position model. The record is from RNAcentral.
AGAGUUUGAUCAUGGCUCAGAACGAACGCUGGCGGCGGGCUUAACACAUGCAAGUCGCACGAGAACGCUCGAGCUUGCUCGAGCUAGUAAAGUGGCGCACGGGUGAGUAACGCGUGGGUAAUCCACCCAAGAGUUCGGGAUAACGUCUCGAAAGGGACGCUAAUACCGGAUAAGACCACAGCGGCCGAGGCCGCAGAGGUAAAAGGGAGCCUCUACAUGAAAGCUUCCACUCUUGGACGAGCCCGCGUCCCAUUAGCUUGUUGGUAGGGUAACGGCCUACCAAGGCGACGAUGGGUAGCUGAUCUGAGAGGACGAUCAGCCACACUGGGACUGGAACACGGCCCAGACUCCUACGGGAGGCAGCAGUGAGGAAUCUUGCGCAAUGGGGGAAACCCUGACGCAGCCACGCCGCGUGGGUGAAGAAGGCCUUCGGGUCGUAAAGCCCUGUCAGGUGGGAAGAAGUGCUGGGAGAUUAAUAGUCUUUCGGCUUGACGGUGCCACCAAAGGAAGCACCGGCUAACUCCGUGCCAGCAGCCGCGGUAAUACGGAGGGUGCGAGCGUUAAUCGGAAUCACUGGGCGUAAAGCGCGCGUAGGCGGUCUGUUAAGUCAGAUGUGAAAGGCCUGGGCUCAACCUGGGAACUGCAUUUGAUACUGGCGGGGAGUCUGGUAGAGGGGGGUGGAAUUCCAGGUGUAGCGGUGAAAUGCGUAGAUAUCUGGAGGAACAUCCGUGGCGAAGGCGGCCCCCUGGACCGAGACUGACGCUGAGGUGCGAAAGCGUGGGGAGCAAACAGGAUUAGAUACCCUAGUAGUCC